GGCCUCCCUCUGUGGGGCGAUCAAUCUGGGGGUUCCUGCGAUUGAUCACCCCUCAGAGGGAGGCC
This 65-nucleotide microRNA precursor is filed under the name Myotis brandtii (Brandt's bat). RNAcentral's name for it is "mir-9242 microRNA precursor family". It matches the Rfam family "mir-9242 microRNA precursor family". The record is from Rfam by way of RNAcentral. Lineage: Eukaryota; Metazoa; Chordata; Mammalia; Chiroptera; Vespertilionidae.